Molecule: non-coding RNA, 20 nt
Filed under: Arabidopsis thaliana (thale cress)
Lineage: Eukaryota; Viridiplantae; Streptophyta; Magnoliopsida; Brassicales; Brassicaceae
Source: RNAcentral
GCAGCGAUACUGACGUGCAA